This is a long non-coding RNA of Olea europaea var. sylvestris, 340 nucleotides long. RefSeq lists it as uncharacterized. The transcript is spliced from 2 exons. Lineage: Eukaryota; Viridiplantae; Streptophyta; Magnoliopsida; Lamiales; Oleaceae. The record is from RefSeq and is a predicted model, not a curated record.
GGUAGGGUUGACUAUUCCAAUUUCAUCUUCAAUUUGACAAAUUUCUUGGUAUGUUUUAUGCUUAAUUUUUUUAGGGUUGCGAUUUAUUGGUUUAAUUUCCAGAUUGAAGGAAGGGAUAUGUUUGCAAGCCAAUAUUUUUGAAUUGGGAAUGCUACUUAUAGAUAGUAGCGGAGUUCAGCAAUCUUGGAGCUUGUUAGUUCACCUAAUUGAGCCACACGUCAGUAGUUGUAUAGCCUACUUUAUCAGAUUAUUAUUUGAUAUCUUUAGUACGUUUGGGGACCUUUGGUUGUAAAGUUAUUAUCAAUUUGCUAGUAUUCUAUUUGAACAGUUUGGAUUUUGA